Molecule: ribosomal RNA, 265 nt
Filed under: uncultured archaeon
Lineage: Archaea
Description: partial 16S ribosomal RNA
Rfam family: Archaeal small subunit ribosomal RNA
Source: RNAcentral
ACACGACUACAUUAGAUACCCCGGUAGUCCUAGCCGUAAACGAUACUCGCUAGGUGUCGGCCACGGUGCGACCGUUGUCGGUGCCGUAGGGAAGCCGUGAAGCGAGCCACCUGGGAAGUACGGCCGCAAGGCUGAAACUUAAAGGAAUUGGCGGGGGAGCACCACAACGGGUGGAGCUUGCGGUUUAAUUGGAUUCAACGCCGGAAAACUUACCGGGACCGACAGCAACAUGAAGGCCAGGCUGAAGACUUUGCCGGAUUAGCUG